This 965-nucleotide long non-coding RNA is filed under the name Bos taurus (domestic cattle). RNAcentral's name for it is "long non-coding RNA NONBTAT025086". The record is from RNAcentral. Lineage: Eukaryota; Metazoa; Chordata; Mammalia; Artiodactyla; Bovidae.
UUUUUCCAGUUAGAAGCAGGACAUAUUUCUUUCUAUUCAUUAUUUCUUACAAUGUUCUCGUAGCUUCAGAGGCAAAAGACUGGUAGAGAGACACCAACUUUUACUCUUUCUAAGCUACAAAAAAAUGACUGUUGUUUCUAAAUUUAGCUCAUUAUAAUUAUCUGGUUUUCCCCCAAACCUGCCUGACUUGCCUGAUUAGUCUAAUCCGGGGGUCUAAUGACUAAACUAAGGGGAAGGAUGGCUGGCAACUAAUGUAGCCCUAGUGUCAUAUAUGAGGAUAUAUCUCUGUGGUGGUUACAGCAGAUUAAAUUGGUGUUUUCACACUGCAGAUGUGAUGUGUAGUUCUACAGACAUACCCUGAGCUGGUACAUGCAAACCACAGUCCCCCAGAACCAGAGCUCCUGGCAGGAUGGUGGAAGCUAUGGUGGGAUGUGGAGGAAGAGGAGCCCAAGAUUCAGAUGGGCUCUUCAGUCAGGCAGCUGUGAGGCUCCCUGCGCAGCAGCCACCUUGGCCCCGUGGAGGCAAGACAUCUGGGCUGGCCUCCUAGAUGUGAAACAAGCCUCCUUCGCUCGCUGACUCAGCCUGACUGAGGCUUUCCCCCCACAGUCAAGGAUAAAGCUUUCCACAAGAGCAACCGACUUCAACAUACAAGUGACUGGUGUCAUUCAUCUAUUACUCAUUUGUUCAUUCAUCGGACACAUGCAGUGCCCAUGUGCGCCAGGGGUGGUAGACAAACGGGAGUGACCCUUGCAAAUAUCUUCCAGUUUCCCAGGAAGGAGGUGCCUGGGCUAAGGGAGGAUUUGCUCCCAGACUCAGCUUACUGUGGACCUCCAGGGUUCACAUAUUAGACAGACCACCAGGUCACUGAGGCUUCUAUCAAGGGCUGAACUAUAAGGCCAGGCAGUUGAUGACUCUAAUCCAAGCUGCAUUUGCCGUGCUCAUCAGAUGAGCGGGCCCAUGAGGAC